This is a long non-coding RNA of Zea mays, 563 nucleotides long. RefSeq lists it as uncharacterized. The record is from RefSeq and is a predicted model, not a curated record. The transcript is spliced from 4 exons. Lineage: Eukaryota; Viridiplantae; Streptophyta; Magnoliopsida; Poales; Poaceae.
UAAAUCCCUGCGGUUGAUCACUGACGCUUCAGUAAGUUCUCCAAUUUCAAGGGAGAAGUCUCAAGGUUUGGACCCCAAUAUGCGAGACAAAGUUAUCUAUUCAUCUCCAAAUUUUGAUCCCAAAGUUUUCUUUUUGUGGGUCCACAAAGACACGAGCGCUGCUGACUUAGAGGCUGGUGCUCUCACCUUGAAAACUGAUCUCAAAGGGAGAACACAGCAGAAAAAACAGUUAGUCAAGGAGAACUUCGAUUGUUUUGUCUCGUGCAAAACUACAAUAGAUGACAUUGAGUCGAAAUUGAGAUAGAUAGAGGAAGAUCCUGAAGGUGCAGGUACUGCUCACUUGUAUUCAGUGACACUAAAAAUUAGUGGUGUGGCAAAUCGUGCAUUUGAGCCUCUAUUUGAGAGGCCCAAGCUGAAAAGAUCACAUCUGUUCAGGGAAUGCUUCAAAGAUUCUGAACACUAUUUAACCUACCAAGUGCAAUCCGUGGGAACAUUAGAAAAGGAGAAUAUGAUCUUGCUGUCAGAGAGUACCAAAAAGCAAAGUCAAUUGUUCUUCCUUCUCA